AUGCGCAGCUUCCUUUGGAAUGGGGAUGACGAGUGUAGCGGAGCCAAAUGUUUAGUAAACUGGAAGAGGGUGUGCUCCCCUAAGGAUCUGGGUGGCCUGGGAAUCAAAGAUAUUGUCUGUUUUGGUAGGGCACUACGACUGCGAUGGGCUUGGCUUGAAUGGAGCCCCACCCCUAGGCCUUGGCUGGGCACUCCCAUCCCUUGUGACCGCACUGAUAGGUUGCUAUUCUCGGCUUGCACUGACAUCUCUCUGGGAAAUGGGAAGAGCACACAUUUCUGGCAUGAUCAUUGGUUGGAUGGUAUGGCUCCGGUCAAUAUUGCUACUGGCCUGUUUUUGGCGCGGAGAAAAACUUUGACUGUGCAGGAGGCUUUGGACCGUGGCCGCUGGAUGAAGGGCCUGGAGAGGAUUUCCUCUGAGGAUCUUCUCGACCGGUUUGUCAGGCUGUGGGAGAUGCUCCAACCCAUUGUGCUCUCUGAUAUCCCAGAUUCUAUCCGGUGGAAGUUCUCUGCUGAUAGCUGCUACUCCGCUGCCUCCGCCUACAAGGCUCAGUUCUUGGGCCGCAUUGCGGAACCGCAACUACACUCUGUUUGGAAGAGCAAGGCCGAACCGAAGAUCAAAUCCUCAAUGACGAUCAAGGGCUGGUGGAGGAAGGUCUGGAAGCUGCAUAGCAAUCGAACUAGGCGCAUGCAGAUCACCUCGGCUGUAUACGUCGGUUGGAAUCUUUGGAAAGAGAGAAAUAGGCAGACUUUUGAAGGGAAGAGAUGCUCCCCUGAGACUGUUGCUGCUAUGGCUAGAGAUGAAAUAGCAAUGUUAAAGGAGGCUACUUUUUAG
This 831-nucleotide ribosomal RNA is filed under the name Triticum aestivum (bread wheat). Its description in RNAcentral is "partial small subunit ribosomal RNA". Lineage: Eukaryota; Viridiplantae; Streptophyta; Magnoliopsida; Poales; Poaceae. The record is from RNAcentral.